AGAGUUUGAUCCUGGCUCAGGAUGAACGCUAGCUACAGGCUUAACACAUGCAAGUCGAGGGGAAACGACAUCGAAAGCUUGCUUUUGAUGGGCGUCGACCGGCGCACGGGUGAGUAACGCGUAUCCAACCUGCCCACCACUUGUGGAUAACCUUGCGAAAGUAAGACUAAUACCCCAAUGAUAUCUCUAGAAGACAUCUGGAAGAGAUUAAAGAUUUAUCGGUGAUGGAUGGGGAUGCGUCUGAUUAGCUUGUUGGCGGGGUAACGGCCCACCAAGGCAACGAUCAGUAGGGGUUCUGAGAGGAACGGUCCCCCACAUUGGAACUGAGACACGGUACCAAACUCCGUACGGGAGGCAGCA
RNAcentral lists this ribosomal RNA (360 nucleotides) under uncultured bacterium. RNAcentral describes it as "bacterial SSU rRNA". It matches the Rfam family "Bacterial small subunit ribosomal RNA", at positions 8 to 353 of the family's 1533-position model. The record is from RNAcentral.